GAGAGAGAGAGGGAGAUGAGACAUACCUGUUGUGAGUGAGAUUCGAGAGAGUUGGCUACUGUGAGUGUGAGAGAGCUUCUGUUCUUGGUGGCGUGACAAAAUAACUAUGUUUGUUAGGGUUUUCUUAAUUUAUGUGUUAAAAAAUAAUUAAAAAAGAAAAAAAAAGUUAUGUUAGCUGCUCUAAGGCGGCGCCACGUUAACUAGGGUGGUCACCUCCCUAAAGUAAAGGCCAAGCGAAGUCUUCGUCAUCAAACCUUGGAGGUAUUUCAUAUAUACUUCUUCCUUUAAGUCUUCAUGUAAAAAAAGCAUUCUUGACAUCAAAUUGUUGUAAAUUCCAGUUAAGAUUUGCUGCGUAUAAUAAUAAAACCCUGAUAAUGUUUAUUUUUACAAUGGAAGCAAAGGUCUUCUAAUAAUCCACCACAAACAUUAAACCCUUUGUUACCAAUUUGGUUUUGUAUCUCUCAAUUGAGCCAUCUACUUUUUGCUUUACAGUGAACACCCAUUUGCUUUCAACUGGUUUCUUUCCAGCAAGGAGAGUAACAAGAUCCCAUGUCUCAUUCUUUACCAAAGCUUUCAUCUCCUCA
RNAcentral lists this unclassified non-coding RNA (584 nucleotides) under Hevea brasiliensis (rubber tree). The record is from RNAcentral. Lineage: Eukaryota; Viridiplantae; Streptophyta; Magnoliopsida; Malpighiales; Euphorbiaceae.